Molecule: small nuclear RNA, 107 nt
Filed under: Dasypus novemcinctus (nine-banded armadillo)
Lineage: Eukaryota; Metazoa; Chordata; Mammalia; Cingulata; Dasypodidae
Source: RNAcentral
GUGCUUGCUUUGACAGCACAUACACUAAAACUGGAAUGAUACAGAGAAGAUUAGCAUGGCCACUAUGCAAGAAUGACAUGAAAAUUCAUAAAGCAUUGCAUAUUAAA